This 376-nucleotide ribosomal RNA is filed under the name uncultured Legionella sp. Its description in RNAcentral is "bacterial SSU rRNA". It matches the Rfam family "Bacterial small subunit ribosomal RNA", at positions 283 to 651 of the family's 1533-position model. The record is from RNAcentral. Lineage: Bacteria; Pseudomonadati; Pseudomonadota; Gammaproteobacteria; Legionellales; Legionellaceae.
GUAGCUGGUCUGAGAGGAUGACCAGCCACACUGGAACUGAGACACGGUCCAGACUCCUACGGGAGGCAGCAGUGGGGAAUAUUGGACAAUGGGGGCAACCCUGAUCCAGCAAUGCCGCGUGUGUGAAGAAGGCCUGAGGGUUGUAAAGCACUUUCAGUGGGGAGGAGGAUUGAUAGGUUAAGAGCUGAUUAAUUGGACGUUACCCACAGAAGAAGCACCGGCUAACUCCGUGCCAGCAGCCGCGGUAAUACGGAGGGUGCAAGCGUUAAUCGGAAUUACUGGGCGUAAAGGGUGCGUAGGUGGUUGAAUAAGUUAUCUGUGAAAUCCCUGGGCUYAACCUGGGCAGGUCAGAUAAAACUGUUUGACUCGAGUAUGG